RNAcentral lists this ribosomal RNA (433 nucleotides) under uncultured bacterium. RNAcentral describes it as "partial 16S ribosomal RNA". It matches the Rfam family "Bacterial small subunit ribosomal RNA", at positions 29 to 507 of the family's 1533-position model. The record is from RNAcentral.
AGCGAACGCUGGCGGCAGGCCUAACACAUGCAAGUCGAACGAACACUUCGGAGUUAGUGGCGGACGGGUGAGUAACACGUGGGAACGUGCCUUUUGGUUCGGAAUAACUCAGGGAAACUUGUGCUAAUACCGAAUGUGCCCUUCGGGGGAAAGAUUUAUCGCCAUUAGAGCGGCCCGCGUCAGACUAGCUAGUUGGUGAGGUAACGGCUCACCAAGGCGACGAUCAGUAGCUGGUCUGAGAGGCUGACCAGCCACACGGGGACUGAGACACGGCCCAGACUCCGACAGGAGGCAGCAGUAGGGAAUCUUGCGCAAUGCGCGAGAGCCUGACGCAUCCAUGCCGCGUGAAUGAUGAAGGUCUUAGGAUUGUAAAAUUCUUUCACCGGUGACGAUAAUGACGUUACCCGGAGAAGAAGCCCCUGCUAACUUCGUG